GCUUUCUUGGCUCAGCCGGUAGAGCGUCAGUCUCAUACGUGUUAUCUGAAGGUCAGCAGUUCGAGCCUGCUAGAGAGCA
This 79-nucleotide transfer RNA is filed under the name Cyphobasidiales sp. Tagirdzhanova-0007. Its description in RNAcentral is "tRNA-Met". It matches the Rfam family "tRNA". From Rfam's summary of the family: Transfer RNA (tRNA) molecules are approximately 80 nucleotides in length. Lineage: Eukaryota; Fungi; Basidiomycota; Cystobasidiomycetes; Cyphobasidiales. The record is from RNAcentral.